UACGUAGGGUGCGAGCGUUAAUCGGAAUUACUGGGCGUAAAGCGUGCGCAGGCGGUUUUGUAAGUCUGUUGUGAAAGCCCCGGGCUCAACCUGGGAAUUGCGAUGGAGACUGCAAGGCUUGAAUCCGGCAGAGGGGGGUAGAAUUCCACGUGUAGCAGUGAAAUGCGUAGAGAUGUGGAGGAACACCGAUGGCGAAGGCAGCCCCCUGGGUCAAGAUUGACGCUCAUGCACGAAAGCGUGGGGAGCAAACAGG
This 253-nucleotide ribosomal RNA is filed under the name uncultured bacterium. RNAcentral's name for it is "partial 16S ribosomal RNA". It matches the Rfam family "Bacterial small subunit ribosomal RNA", at positions 524 to 776 of the family's 1533-position model. The record is from RNAcentral.